Pogona vitticeps (central bearded dragon) is the source of this 1335-nucleotide long non-coding RNA. The record is from Ensembl. Lineage: Eukaryota; Metazoa; Chordata; Lepidosauria; Squamata; Agamidae.
ACCAUCAUCCAACUCACUUCCCAUCAAUGCUAGGUGGAGUGGAAGGCAGUAAGGAAAGAGGAAGACCCAAAGCGAGAUGGAGCCUUCUACAUGGACACAAACUGCCCACUUCUGAGUUUAGUGGUGGCUCCAAACCUUCUGGCAUAACAGCUCUCUUUUGAGUCCAAGAAAUCAUCAGGACUCCUCGCCUCUUUUUUUUAACCAUCAUCCAACUCACUUCCCAUCAAUGCUAGGUGGAGUGGAAGGCAGUAAGGAAAGAGGAAGACCCAAAGCGAGAUGGAUUGAUUUAAGGGUUUAGUGGUGGCUUUAAACCUUCUGGCAUAACAGCUCUCUUUCGAGUCCAAGAAAUCAUCACGACUCCUCGCCUCUUUUUUUUACCAUCAUCCAACUCACUUCCCACCAAUGCUAGGCGGAGUGGAAGGCCGUAGGGAAAGAGGAAGACCCAAAGCAAGAUGGAUUGACUUAAGGAAACCCCAGGCUUGAGUUUGCAAGCGUUGUGAAGAGCUCGUGACUCAGACUUUAAUUUGCAAGCGUUGGAAGGCAGUAGGGAAAGAGGAAGACCCAAAGCGAGAUGGAUUGAUUUAAGGAAACCCCGGACUUUAAUUUGCAAGCGUUGUGAAGAGCUCGUGACUCACUGGAAGGUCAUUAAUUAAUCAAUUAAUUUUGCUUUAAGGAAGCGUGUUUAGAGCACAAUUCACGCAAGUGUUUUUUUUUCCACAUCCGCUUAUUUCUUUUGCUCUGAUGCACACCUCGAAGGGUUAACUCUAGAGAGAGGGCUCCUUCCUAGAGAGGCCCGGGACGCUUGCGAGAGGGGGGUUUAAAUACGAGAUGCACCUUCCUGUUCUGCUUGUACCUACCCCAGAGAGGGGGGAAAGAAAAUUGCCUUCCGAAUUUCCCAGGAGUGGUGUUUGCAAGGGCGAGGAGGAGGAGGAGGCGUGCAUGCAAGCAAGCAAAAGAGGGGGGGUUCCCACAGCUUCUUCCCAGCUUCCGCCGUCUGAGACUACUGCCCCGCUCUGCCUAACAGGAGGACCAUCCCUGCCUGCUUCUUUGGACCUCUUAUCCUCCCAGAAGCAUCUUCUCCUGAGUUGCCUCCAGCUGCUUCAUAAGAUAGAAAAUCUGUUCGGCCUGUUUGAAGGAUGGUGCCGUGACCCGAGCACUUAUUUGAAAAUCUUGCACUCCCCUCCUGAAUAAAAAUCUAAUGGAAAACCGCUGCGUCUGCUGAUCAUAUUGCGAAGGCAGAGCUGAGGUAAAGCCGGGCCCACAGGUUUACAGGGAGAAGUUGUUUCGUAGUCCCAGGUUCAGCUGUGAUCAGAGUCUUCUUGCCAUUUUGUAGUG